Molecule: long non-coding RNA, 1519 nt
Organism: Lolium rigidum
Lineage: Eukaryota; Viridiplantae; Streptophyta; Magnoliopsida; Poales; Poaceae
Exons: 4
Source: RefSeq, a predicted model, not a curated record
UCCAUGGGUGGAAGGAGGCACCACAACGCGGCUCCCAGGCAGAGCGAGCGCCAGGUACGCCAAUCGAAAAUUUGUGUGGAUUCUUUGUCAGGAAGAAAAGGGGCGGCGCUGGGAAGCAGCUCGUGGCCAUCCAGAUUUUGGUUGUUCUCCUAGGUGGAGAGGGGCCGGAGUACCUAACCUAACCCUUUUAUGGAUCUCCCCUAAACAGGAUUAAAGCGAUUUUGGAAGUAAAUCACCUGAAGCUGGAAGUAGAAAUGAGUACUAGAUUCAGUAUUCCAGCUGGUCCUUUUCACAGUUUGUGGUUAGAGGCACAUAUUGAUGUUAAGCUCACGGUGGAGCCUGUUUAUUUUCUCAGCGAGGAUGGUGCAGCGAACGGCGGCCGCAUGCUUCGGAGGAAGGGGAGCGGUGGGUUGAGGUCGACGUUGGUGGACUACUGGAUGCCUAGAAGGAAGGAAGAAAGACCGGUGGCAUGGCCUAGACGGGAUGAGGAGGAGGCGGGUUCUGGCAUGGCCUGCACGACUGCAUUUUCUUCUCAGUUCCUUUGCUUCCAUGGGUGUUCGUGCUGGCUUGCGUUGCGAUUGAUUAUGUGGUGUUGGAUCCAGCAAGGCCAGGGGAUCCUGAUGGAAGUCGGUGAGGUGCACAACUCUCCUAGAGUGCCUUCCUCGAUUACCAGGAUUAUGAGCUCAUAAAGCUUCUGCAUAUCCAUUGUGGUUUUCGUGGUGUGGCGAGAAUGGGAAGGUCAUCAAUUCUCCUCCGCUGCGGGGGGCUCGCAUCUCCAUUUUUCUCAAAUUGUGGUGCUCUAUUUUCAACCUCCACUUUAGAUGAACUAGACACGGUGGAAGUUAUAUUUGAAAGAUUUGUAUCAUAGGCUGAAGUCAAGAUUUGUCUAUGCUUAUCAAUGUGCGGAUGUCAAGCAGUUUGAGAACAUUUUGAAAAUAUCACCCAAAGUUUGUCGACCCACCGCUCCUCUCCAACCGGUGAUCCAGCACAAGGUAUAUGUGAUGUCAGUCUUUUUUUCUCUGCAUUAUCCCUGACUGUGCAUCUAUUCGUAGUGGGAAUGGAUCCUCCCAUCUGAUGCGGGGUUAGAUGAUGGAUGUGAGCCAAUUUCUAGGUUUAUCCAACAAUUACACACGCCAAUGAAAUUCAGGAUUUUUUUUUUGUACGAUAUCGGUUUAUGCUUUGUGGUGUAGGAUUAUAAUCUGCCCUGUGUUGGUGGACAUAGGAAGAGCCCUCUCAUUACCCAUAGUUUGGCAUGUAUGUUUCUGGUAAUUGUUUCGUUUCAAUUCAAACCCGUAUUGUCUGCAUGUAUGUUAGAAAUAUCAUUUCUCGCUCCGAGAAAGCCUUUUGCCAAAAAGAGUAAUGCCGCAAGGGCUUGGCUUAGGUUCUCUUGCAAAUAUCCACUGAGUUGCUGUGAUUCAUGAAAGUUACUUGCCAAAAAAAGUUCUCUGUAAUUAUAAGCAAUGCCAUUAUUACAGAGGAAAUCAUCAUGUUUUGUCAUCAUAUUAGUUUGAAAAUCUAA